GGGGAAUCUUGCGCAAUGCGCGAAAGCGUGACGCAGCAACGCCGCGUGUGGGAAGACGGCCUUCGGGUUGUAAACCACUUUCAGUUGGGACGAAGCCUUGCCGGUGAAUAGCCGGCUGAGGUGACGGUACCUUCAGAAGAAGCCCCGGCUAACUACGUGCCAGCAGCCGCGGUAAUACGUAGGGGGCAAGCGUUGUCCGGAAUCAUUGGGCGUAAAGCGGGUGUAGGCGGCCAGGUAAGUCCGUUCUGAAAGCCCGGGGCUCAACCCCGGGAGGCGGAUGGAUACUGCUUGGCUCGAGUCCGGAAGAGGCGAGUGGAAUUCCCGGUGUAGCGGUGAAAUGCGCAGAUAUCGGGAGGAACACCAAUGGCGAAGGCAGCUCGCUGGGACGGUACUGACGCUGAGACGCGAAAGCGUGGGGAGCAAA
This 424-nucleotide ribosomal RNA is filed under the name uncultured bacterium. RNAcentral describes it as "bacterial SSU rRNA". It matches the Rfam family "Bacterial small subunit ribosomal RNA", at positions 356 to 772 of the family's 1533-position model. The record is from RNAcentral.